Molecule: long non-coding RNA, 661 nt
Organism: Oncorhynchus tshawytscha (Chinook salmon)
Lineage: Eukaryota; Metazoa; Chordata; Actinopteri; Salmoniformes; Salmonidae
Source: Ensembl
GUCGAGGGGGACAGAAGAAAGGAGGGAGGGAGAGGAACAGGUUGAGGGGGACAGAAGAAAGGAGGGAGGGAACAGGUCGAGGGGGACAGAAGAAAGGGAAGAAGAACAGGUCGAGGGGGACAGAAGAAAGGGAGGAGAAGAACAGGUCGAGGGGGACAGAAGAAAGGAGGGAGAGGAGAGGAACAGGUCGAGGGGGACAGAAGAAAGGGGGAGGGAGAGGAACAGGUCGAGAGGGACAGAAGAAAGGGAGGGAGAGGAACAGGUCGAGGGGGACAGAAGAAAGGGAGGGAGAGGAGAGGAUCAGGUCGAGGGGGACAGAAGAAAGGGAGGGAGAGGAGAGGAACAGGUCCAGGGGGACAGAAGGAAGGAAGGAAGGGAGAGGAGAGGAACAGGUCGAGGGUGACAGAAGAAAGGGAGAGAGAGGAGAGGAUCAGGUCGAGGGGGACAGAAGAAAGGGAGAGAGAGGAGAGGAUCAGGUCGAGGGGGACAGAAGAAAGGGAGGAAGAGGAACAGGUCGAGGGGAACAGAAGAAAGGGAGGGAGAGGAGAGGAACAGGUCGAGAGGGACAGAAGAAAGGGAAGGAGAGGAGAGGAACAGGUCGAGGGGGACAGAAGAAAGGGAGGGAGAGGAGAGGAACAGGUCGAGAGGGACAGAAGAAAGG